ACAACGAGAUGACCUUCUACAACAUCUUACAGAUUGCAGCACAAAUCAAAGAAGUUAAAAUAGAACUUUUUAAUCUUCGAACUUUUUGAAUUGUAACAAUAUCAUAUUUGAUGAUGCAACAAUAUUUAAAAUGCUGCAUUAAUUAGAUAUUUAAUAUUUUAUCCAUAUUUAUUUUAAAAAAAUAGGCUGUGAAAUUUAAUUCCAAUAAUUCAGCAAGUCAAAAUAUCACAUGCCUUAUCCGUCGAGCUAGAAUUACACCUAUGUCACACCCCAAUAAUCCCACAUCGAAUAGAAAUGAGAAUAUGAUUGGGUAUAUAAGAGACUUAGACACUGGUAAUAAUAACUGGGCUUAAGCAUUUUGGGCCAGUGUUUGGGCCCAACGAGUUAUUGUUGCUAGUGGGCUGGGUCGUUACAUUUGGUAUCAGAGCCGGUUCACCAGCCAAAAAUGUAUUGCGAAUCUCGACUGAGUCAGGGUCUGAAAGGCAAUAUGAUCGGCUAUGCCAGAGUCUGAAUAACAAGAUAGCCGGCUAUGCCAGGGUCUGGAUGACAAGGCUAGCGAGACUGAGUCAGGGUCUGAAAGGCAAGGUGAUCGGGUAUGCCAGAGUCUGAAUAACAAGAUAGCCGGCUAUGCCAGGGUCUGGAUGACAAGGCUAGCGAGACGAGUCACCCCAAUAAUCUCACAUCGAAAAUAGAAAUGGGGAUAUGAUUGGGUAUAUAAGAGACUUAGACACUGGUAAUAAUAACUGGGCUAAGCAUUUUGGGCCAGUGUUUGGGCCCAACGAAUUAUUUUUGCUAGUGGGCUGGGACGUUACAAUCUAAUUAAAGUUCGAGAACUAAAAUGUAAUAUGCAGUAUAAAAGCUAAAAAUUACAACAAAUUAAAAUUUAAGGACCGAAAUGUCACGUGUCUCAUAAUUUGAGGACCGAAUAAUUUACUCUCAAACA
Molecule: long non-coding RNA, 943 nt
Filed under: Ananas comosus (pineapple)
Lineage: Eukaryota; Viridiplantae; Streptophyta; Magnoliopsida; Poales; Bromeliaceae
Description: long non-coding RNA (ACOM_LNC039096)
Source: RNAcentral